Molecule: long non-coding RNA, 1986 nt
Organism: Triticum aestivum (bread wheat)
Lineage: Eukaryota; Viridiplantae; Streptophyta; Magnoliopsida; Poales; Poaceae
Exons: 3
Source: RefSeq, a predicted model, not a curated record
UAGUAUGGAAUUCCAGACAUAUCCAGAACACACCACCCCGCACAAUGUGUUCUUGUUUCUGCUUCUCUCCCGAAAGAAACAGGAGCUUCGAGUACCCUCCCAAAUUCUCGCGGCCGACCUCUCCCCUCUCUUCCCCGGUGAACGCGGGAUUUGAGUUGGGCAAGGAUCCCUACCCUUGUAUAGUUGUGCUUGUAAUUAGGGUCUGAAUCAAUUGGAUUUGGCUUCAAGAUUUCGUCGGUGUAUUUCCUUCAGAUCUAGCCGUGCAGGCCGCCGGAGACAGAGAUGAUAGUGACGGUUGUUGCCAUAUCCGAGUCUGUUCGAUAUAGCCCUUUUUUCUGUGCUGCCCAUGGAGGAUUAGAGGCUACCAGCGGCAGGACUGGCAUGAGUAGGCCUAGGUGUUGCGGGCGCGGAGGAUUUCUGACGGUGGUGAGCUACUCGUUCCCUGCGGCGCCCAGUGCCAAACUGAACAAUUGAACAUGAAGACGAGUAGAUAGAGGGCAGCCUCACAGGUUGGCGCUGUUGCCAGGGACAGCAAGGGCCACGUUUUCGUCUCUGUAUGCAGAAUGCUGACCCCCAGUCGAAGUGUUGAGGAGGCCGAGGCAAAAUCUGCCCUCGCCGGACUGCAGGCUCUUGCAAAAUACUACAUCGGGCCUUUGAUCCUGGAGAUGGAUUGCCAUGCAAUCAUAAAAGAGCUAGCUGCGGGAGACCAAUCCAGAUCACAGUGCUAUGCCUGAUCAAGGAUAUUAAACAAGCACUCUCAGUUUUUCAGCUUACAGUGUCAGCCAUGUGGUAAGAACUUGCAAUGCUCAUGCUCCUGAGCUUGCAGCGGCAACCAGAAAUGUGAGCGACCAGGAGAUCAUCGUAAACGUCCCGGAUAAACUCCGUCCACUGAUGAUGUCUGAAUUUGUAUCUCAUGUAGAGUAGUUUCCUACUCUAGAUCUAAAAAAAGGGGCAGCCAUGCAGAGAUGUCACUGACGAUGAAGGUGAGGCCAUCGAGUCUAUUAUUGUGUUAGUUUGUUUCAAAGAAAUCACGCUAAUUUCUCUCAAUAUAGAAAUUAGUCAUGGAGCAGGCUUCAGGGAAGACUAUCGAUCUAGAACUGGUUGUAUGUCCAUGAGCAAUUUUCUGUUGCUCUGACUGUACGGACAGCCUCUGUAAUUUAGCCAAACAUCAUCGCACCGUGCCAUUACUUAGCUUUUUGCACACAAUUCUUGUUUGUUACGGUGGUGCCAAACUGCCAAUAGAAGACAAGUUGACCUGUUGAACAACGCCACAAAUGCAUAGUUGUAUGUUAUCUAGGGUUGUACGACCUUGAGUUACAAGAGGUCCAGUACUAAUUUUGUGUGUGUGUGCGUACAUGUGCAUUCACCCGUUCUACAUACACAUGAUUUCAAAGUAUCUUUUACUGUACAUUUUGUUUCUUUGCUGAGUUCAAAUUGCAAGUAUUGUUCAUUGUUUUUUCAUUUUGUCUAAAUAUACUACAAACUCUCUAAAGGCUCAACUUUUUCCCCUUUGUAUGAAUAUAUCACAGACAGUUAUGUAUAAAAUAGUGAUUGUCUGAUGUUCUCUUAGGUGAGCAGAUGGAUGAAAUGAAAACCCCAUAAUUAAUAUUGUUGUUACAUAUGUUUUGAGCAAACAACUAAAAUAAGGGUGUACUGUCUGGUGGUUUGGGAGAUUUGGUAUGAGCCCAGUCGUCGCAUCUUUCACAAUUUGGAGUUAUCAGCUGUGACAGUGGCAGGCCAUGCAACUUCACAAGGCCGAUGUUGGAAGGACGAUGACGCAUGGCACGUCAUUUAGCAUAGUAGUCUAGCUUAGUGAACCCUGAUCAUUUUGUUUGUACUUUUUAUAUAAACUCUCUUAUGCAUGCAAGUUCUGUAUUAAGCGUUUUUAUUUUGUGUUUUCCUUUUUCAUGUGAGUUCUCUUGAUCAGUUCCUGAUUGUGAGAUGUUUUGAGACUAAUAUACUUAGCAAAUUAUUUUAGCAAUAUUU